This 441-nucleotide ribosomal RNA is filed under the name uncultured bacterium. RNAcentral describes it as "partial 16S ribosomal RNA". It matches the Rfam family "Bacterial small subunit ribosomal RNA", at positions 338 to 795 of the family's 1533-position model. The record is from RNAcentral.
CCUACGGGAGGCAGCAGUGGGGAAUAUUGCUCAAUGGUGGAAACCCUGAUGCAGCAACGCCGCGUGAGUGAAGAAGUAUUUCGGUAUGUAAAGCUCUAUCAGCAGGGAAGAAGAAAGACGGUACCUGACUCAGAUGCCCCGGCUAACUACGUGCCCGCAGCCGCGGUAAUACGUAGGGGGCAAGCGUUAUCCGGAUUUACUGGGUGUAAAGGGCGCGUAGACGGCUGUGCAAGUCUGAAGUGAAAGCCCGUGGCUCAACCGCGGAACUGCGUUGGAAAAUGUAGAGUUAGAGUACUGGAGAGGCAGGCGGAAUGCCUGGUGUAGCGGUGAAAUGCGGAGAGAUUAGGAGGAACACCAGUGGCGAAGGCGGCCUGCUGGACAAAAACUGACGUUGAGGCUCGAAAGCGUGGGGAGCAAACAGGAUUAGAUACCCCUGUAGUC